Transfer RNA from Cavia porcellus (domestic guinea pig), 71 nucleotides. It matches the Rfam family "tRNA". Rfam says of the family: Transfer RNA (tRNA) molecules are approximately 80 nucleotides in length. Their secondary structure includes four short double-helical elements and three loops (D, anti-codon, and T loops). The record is from Rfam. Lineage: Eukaryota; Metazoa; Chordata; Mammalia; Rodentia; Caviidae.
GGGGAUUUAGCUCAGUGGCAUAAGCGCCUGCCUUGUAAGCAGGCAGUUGUAAGUUUGAUCCCUCCCCCCCA